Long non-coding RNA from Cyprinus carpio (common carp), 848 nucleotides. RefSeq lists it as uncharacterized. The transcript has 3 exons. Lineage: Eukaryota; Metazoa; Chordata; Actinopteri; Cypriniformes; Cyprinidae. The record is from RefSeq and is a predicted model, not a curated record.
CGCGCCGAUCCAGAACCUUCUCCACAACAUACUCCUCUUCUUCUUCCUCCACCACUUCUUCCGCUUUCUUUUUUUGUUUCUUCCCUGCUGGUGAUUGCUUGGUUUCAGACUGAGAAACUGGAGCUGGAUACAUGAAUGACUCUUUAGUUCACCUUACCUGCAUUACUUGGGACCCAGAGCAAAGCUACGCUGACACACAGGGAGAACAUGCAGAAAGGCCUCCCCUCAGGACUCUUGAACCCAGCUGCUUAUGCAUUAAUUAUGCUGUGAAGAGGUGAAGCCCAAAUGAUACAGACUCAGACAUGGAUGCUAGCAAUGCCAGAACACCCGAAGCACACUCCAGGGAGUUCUAGGGGUUGUGGAUACAAAAAAAUGAGCCAUAAACAACUUUCACAAAAUGUAAAAACAUUAUACGUGUUAACCAUUAUCCUGUAUUUUUGUUGUGUACUUGUUUGAUUUAUGGCUGUUUAACAAUAAUGCAAGACUGUUAGGGGGAAAAAAAUAUAGUACUGCCAUUGCUCUGACUUCCAUGCAUCAAUGGUGGAACACAUGAAUCUCACUCCUGGAAGAGCUGGUGUUUGUGGACCAAGAAAAUGAGAGUAAACUUUUUUUUUUUUUGAAUAAUUACAUAUGUAAUCACUGUGCUCCUGUACUUUUGUUAUUUUCUUGUUUGAUUAAUGGUUGCUUUACAUUAAUGUAAAAAUAUAAGAGAAAAUGCCAUUGCCACAUGCUCAGACUUAACCACAUUCUACUAUUUUUAUUUUCUUGUUUGAACAGUAUCUAUUUAACAAAUGGAAUACAUUUUUUAAAAAUGUAUUAUUCACAAUAAAAUAUGUUGUGCUAAAUUA